This is a long non-coding RNA of Oncorhynchus tshawytscha (Chinook salmon), 1500 nucleotides long. RefSeq lists it as uncharacterized. The record is from RefSeq and is a predicted model, not a curated record. NCBI's taxonomy places the organism in Eukaryota, Metazoa, Chordata, Actinopteri, Salmoniformes, Salmonidae. The transcript is spliced from 5 exons.
UUGAUUGAAAUAUAGUUUUAAUAACUUUUACCCUGUCAGUUUUUGUGCAGUAAAAGUAAAUGAAAAUGACCUCAAACCAUUUCUCUCUCUCCAUCACUCUUUCCAUGCAGGUCCACUGGCACUAAUAUGUUCUCUGCUCAGCUGACAGAGACAAGAGAUACAGGAAUCCAUUAUGUUCCAAGUAGGUUACCUUGGCACUCCUGUAGGCACAACACUCCCACUCGGACUUCCUGCAGGAGACAGGUCAGUGUGUGUAGAGAGAACACGUUUGAUCAAGUGGGGUCAGGCUUCUACUUCAUCACCCUGGACCAGUGAGUCACCAACUCAUCGUAUGCCUUACACAACUCAGCACAUAUGUAUUGCUCCACCUUCCUCAAACAAUUAUGCUGAUGCUCCACUGUAAGGAACCUGGAGAUCUUCAUUGGUUCUGAGGGAGGUGACGUGGCCACAAACAGUGCCUGGAACACCUUCCAGCGCUACUGCUGUCUGGAGAACAGCCAGAGGGUGGUCAAGACACCUGCUGUAACUCCAUCUUUAGUGUGUCAGCUCUGCCGCACCUGGGAGAUAAAGCUGAGGGAUUCAAAUUCAUAGACAGAGCUACGGAUGCAAGGACUGACCAUCUCGCCUCCUUCUAAAACCCCAUUAGAGGAGACGACCCUUCCUCACCUCAGACCUCCUCCAAUGGGUUAAGAGAAGGAUAUGACUCUAGCUUGCUGAUAACAUCUGACUUGAUGGGACUCCUGUAUUACUGACUAUAUAAAAUAAAAUGUCCAAUGCCAAGUGGAAAUCAUUUCAUAUUCUGUAAUUGAUAGACAAUGGUAGUUCCAAUCAGACAAUUUCUAUAAAACAAGUAUAUUUUCCUUGGUGCAAUGUUUGGUGAAUGCAUGGUGUUGUUUUUUCCUCAGUACUCCUUUGAAUGCCGUGUGUACUGAUUUAGUUCUAAAUGGCCAUCAUCAAGUCCAUCCUCACCUCCUCCUUCACUGCAACAUAUUGUACAGUCUGCUGACUCCAGGGCAAGGAAGCGUGCAGGAAAGAUCAUUGCUGACCCCUUCCACCCCCUCUUCUCCCCUCUGGCAAACGGUUCAGGUCAAUCAUGACCAAAACCUCCCGCCACCUGAACAGUUUGUUCCCCCGUGCCGUGGUCCUCACCAACUGGCCACCUGGUACACGAUGAUCCUCUCAUCCAUAGACAUCGCAUUCUGCACUAUUCAUACACAGACUAUGCACCCUUGCACUAUCAUCCCAGAACUACACAUUGCACUUUGCACUAUCUGCACAUCUCAUACAUGCAUAGUUUAUGUAUGUGGAUCUGUGUCAAUUCUGUAUCUAUAUAUUAUUUUUUUUGUAUUCUGUUUAUCAUCUGUCUGUACAUUCUGUUUAUUGUGGCAGCACCAUUUCACAGAGUCAAAUUCCUGUACAUGUGAAUAAAGCUGGUGUAUCAUAUGUCAGUUAACAUUCUAUUAUUUGGGACUAGUUAUGUUCUGUACGAACUGUAGCAGA